AACUUUUAGCAACGGAUCUCUUCGCUCUCGCAUCGAUGAAGAACGCAGCGAAAUGCGAUAAGUAAUGUGAAUUGCAGAAUUCAGUGAAUCAUCGAAUCUUUGAACGCACCUUGCGCUCCUUGGUAUUCCGAGGAGCAUGCCUGUUUGAGUGUCAUGAAAUUCUCAACCUUCCAACUUUUAUUAGCUUGGAUAGGCUUGGAUGUGGGGGUUGCAGGCUUCAUCAAUGAGGUCAGCGUUUCUUAUAUGCAUUGGCGGAACUUUUUUGGACCGUCUAUUGGUGUGAUAAUUAUCUAGGGCGUGGAUGAGAAAAAGCUUUAACAAGCUCAGCUUCUAAACGCCCAUUGACUUGGACAAUUUUGACAAUUUGACCUCAAAUUAGGUAGGACUACCCGCUGAGCUUAAGCAUAUCAACAAGCGGAGGUU
RNAcentral lists this unclassified non-coding RNA (423 nucleotides) under uncultured Agaricales. Its description in RNAcentral is "sequence contains ITS2". The stretch from base 1 to 154 matches the Rfam family "5.8S ribosomal RNA". The record is from RNAcentral. Lineage: Eukaryota; Fungi; Basidiomycota; Agaricomycetes; Agaricales.